GGGUUGUGAGGUUAAGCGACUAAGCGUACACGGUGGAUGCCCUGGCAGUCAGAGGCGAUGAAGGGCGUGCUAAUCUGCGAUAAGCGCCGGUAAGGUGAUAUGAACCGUUAUAACCGGCGAUACCCGAAUGGGGAAACCCAGUGUGACUCGUCACACUAUCAUUAACUGAAUCCAUAGGUUAAUGAGGCGAACCGGGGGAACUGAAACAUCUAAGUACCCCGAGGAAAAGAAAUCAACCGAGAUUCCCCCAGUAGCGGCGAGCGAACGGGGAGGAGCCCAGAGCCUGAAUCAGCAUGUGUGUUAGUGGAAGCGUCUGGAAAGGCGCGCGAUACAGGGUGACAGCCCCGUACACAAAAGCGCAUGUGCUGUGAGCUCGAUGAGUAGGGCGGGACACGUGGUAUCCUGUCUGAAUAGUGGGGGGGACCAUCCUCCAAGGCUAAAUACUCCUGACUGACCGAUAGUGAACCAGUACCGUGAGGGAAAGGCGAAAAGAACCCCGGCGAGGGGAGUAGAAAAAGAACCUGAAACCGUGUACGUACAAGCAGUGGGAGCACCCUUUGGGUGUGACUGCGUACCUUUUGUAUAAUGGGUCAGCGACUUAUAUUCUGUAGCAAGGUUAACCGAAUAGGGGAGCCGGAGGGAAACCGAGUCUUAACCGGGCGUUAAGUUGCAGGGUAUAGACCCGAAACCCGGUGAUCUAGCCAUGGGCAGGUUGAAGGUUGGGUAACACUAACUGGAGGACCGAACCGACUAAUGUUGAAAAAUUAGCGGAUGACCUGUGGCUGGGGGUGAAAGGCCAAUCAAACCGGGAGAUAGCUGGUUCUCCCCGAAAGCUAUUUAGGUAGCGCCUCGUGAAUUCAUCUCCGGGGGUAGAGCACUGUUUCGGCUAGGGGGCCAUCCCGGCUUACCAACCCGAUGCAAACUGCGAAUACCGGAGAAUGUUAUCACGGGAGACACACGGCGGGUGCUAACGUCCGUCGUGAAGAGGGAAACAACCCGAGACCGCCAGCUAAGGUCCCAAAGUCAUGGUUAAGUGGGAAACGAUGUGGGAAGGCCCAGACAGCCAGGAUGUUGGCUUAGAAGCAGCCAUCAUUUAAAGAAAAGCGUAAUAGCUCACUGGUCGAGUCGGCCUGCGCGGAAGAUGUAACGGGGCUAAACCAUGCACCGAAGCUGCGGCAGCGACACUGUGUGUUGUUGGGUAGGGGUAGCGUUCUGUAAGCCUGUGAAGGUGUGUCUGUGAGGCCAUGCUGGAGGUAUCAGAAGUGCGAAUGCUGACAUAAGUAACGAUAAAGCGGGUGAAAAGCCCGCUCGCCGGAAGACCAAGGGUUCCUGUCCAACGUUAAUCGGGGCAGGGUGAGUCGACCCCUAAGGCGAGGCCGAAAGGCGUAGUCGAUGGGAAACGGGUUAAUAUUCCCGUACUUGGUGUUACUGCGAAGGGGGGACGGAGAAGGCUAUGUUGGCCGGGCGACGGUUGUCCCGGUUUAAGCGUGUAGGUGUGUGUUCCAGGUAAAUCCGGUUCACUUUAACACUGAGGCGUGACGACGAGGCACUACGGUGCUGAAGCAACAAAUGCCCUGCUUCCAGGAAAAGCCUCUAAGCAUCAGGUAACAUCAAAUCGUACCCCAAACCGACACAGGUGGUCAGGUAGAGAAUACCAAGGCGCUUGAGAGAACUCGGGUGAAGGAACUAGGCAAAAUGGUGCCGUAACUUCGGGAGAAGGCACGCUGACACGUAGGUGAAGUGAUUUACUCAUGGAGCUGAAGUCAGUCGAAGAUACCAGCUGGCUGCAACUGUUUAUUAAAAACACAGCACUGUGCAAACACGAAAGUGGACGUAUACGGUGUGACGCCUGCCCGGUGCCGGAAGGUUAAUUGAUGGGGUCAGCGCAAGCGAAGCUCCUGAUCGAAGCCCCGGUAAACGGCGGCCGUAACUAUAACGGUCCUAAGGUAGCGAAAUUCCUUGUCGGGUAAGUUCCGACCUGCACGAAUGGCGUAAUGAUGGCCAGGCUGUCUCCACCCGAGACUCAGUGAAAUUGAACUCGCUGUGAAGAUGCAGUGUACCCGCGGCAAGACGGAAAGACCCCGUGAACCUUUACUAUAGCUUGACACUGAACAUUGAGCCUUGAUGUGUAGGAUAGGUGGGAGGCUUUGAAGUGUGGACGCCAGUCUGCAUGGAGCCGACCUUGAAAUACCACCCUUUAAUGUUUGAUGUUCUAACGUGGACCCGUUACCCGGGUUGCGGACAGUGUCUGGUGGGUAGUUUGACUGGGGCGGUCUCCUCCUAAAGAGUAACGGAGGAGCACGAAGGUUGGCUAAUCCUGGUCGGACAUCAGGAGGUUAGUGCAAUGGCAUAAGCCAGCUUGACUGCGAGCGUGACGGCGCGAGCAGGUGCGAAAGCAGGUCAUAGUGAUCCGGUGGUUCUGAAUGGAAGGGCCAUCGCUCAACGGAUAAAAGGUACUCCGGGGAUAACAGGCUGAUACCGCCCAAGAGUUCAUAUCGACGGCGGUGUUUGGCACCUCGAUGUCGGCUCAUCACAUCCUGGGGCUGAAGUAGGUCCCAAGGGUAUGGCUGUUCGCCAUUUAAAGUGGUACGCGAGCUGGGUUUAGAACGUCGUGAGACAGUUCGGUCCCUAUCUGCCGUGGGCGCUGGAGAACUGAGGGGGGCUGCUCCUAGUACGAGAGGACCGGAGUGGACGCAUCACUGGUGUUCGGGUUGUCAUGCCAAUGGCACUGCCCGGUAGCUAAAUGCGGAAGAGAUAAGUGCUGAAAGCAUCUAAGCACGAAACUUGCCCCGAGAUGAGUUCUCCCUGAGACUUAAAGUCUCCUGAAGGAACGUUGAAGACGACGACGUUGAUAGGCCGGGUGUGUAAGCGCAGCGAUGCGUUGAGCUAACCGGUACUAAUGAACCGUGAGGCUUAACCUUACAACGCCGAAG
RNAcentral lists this ribosomal RNA (2933 nucleotides) under Salmonella enterica subsp. enterica serovar Enteritidis str. EC20110360. RNAcentral describes it as "bacterial LSU rRNA". It matches the Rfam family "Bacterial large subunit ribosomal RNA". Lineage: Bacteria; Pseudomonadati; Pseudomonadota; Gammaproteobacteria; Enterobacterales; Enterobacteriaceae. The record is from RNAcentral.